This 490-nucleotide ribosomal RNA is filed under the name uncultured bacterium. Its description in RNAcentral is "partial 16S ribosomal RNA". It matches the Rfam family "Bacterial small subunit ribosomal RNA", at positions 30 to 507 of the family's 1533-position model. The record is from RNAcentral.
AUCGAACGCUGGCGGCAGGCCUAACACAUGCCAGUCGAACGGUAACAGGAAGAAUCUUGCUUCUUUGCUGACGAGUGGCGGACGGGUGAGUAAUGUCUGGGAAACUGCCUGAUGGAGGGGGAUAACUACUGGAAACGGUAGCUAAUACCGCAUAACGUCGCAAGACCAAAGAGGGGGACCUUCGGGCCUCUUGCCAUCGGAUGUGCCCAGAUGGGAUUAGCUAGUAGGUGGGGUAACGGCUCACCUAGGCGACGAUCCCUAGCUGGUCUGAGAGGAUGACCAGCCACACUGGAACUGAGACACGGUCCAGACUCCUACGGGAGGCAGCAGUGGGGAAUAUUGCACAAUGGGCGCAAGCCUGAUGCAGCCAUGCCGCGUGUAUGAAGAAGGCCUUCGGGUUGUAAAGUACUUUCAGCGGGGAGGAAGGGAGUAAAGUUAAUACCUUUGCUCAUUGACGUUACCCGCAGAAGAAGCACCGGCUAACUCCGUG